RNAcentral lists this ribosomal RNA (449 nucleotides) under uncultured bacterium. RNAcentral's name for it is "bacterial SSU rRNA". It matches the Rfam family "Bacterial small subunit ribosomal RNA", at positions 354 to 795 of the family's 1533-position model. The record is from RNAcentral.
GUGGGGAAUAUUGGACAAUGGGCGAAAGCCUGAUCCAGCCAUGCCGCGUGUGUGAAGAAGGUCUUCGGAUUGUAAAGCACUUUAAGUUGGGAGGAAGGGCAGUAAGUUAAUACCUUGCUGUUUUGACGUUACCGACAGAAUAAGCACCGGCUAACUUCGUGCCAGCAGCCGCGGUAAUACGAAGGGUGCAAGCGUUAAUCGGAAUUACUGGGCGUAAAGCGCGCGUCGGUGGUUUUGUAAGUUGGAGGUGAAAUCCCCGGGCUCAACCUGGGAACUGGCUCCAAAACUGCAUGACUAGAGUACGGUAGAGGGUAGUGGAAUUUCCUGGGUAGCGGUGAAAUGCGUAGAUAUAGGAAGGAACACCAGUGGCGAAGGCGAAUACCUGGACUGAUACUGACACUGAGGUGCGAAAGCGUGGGGAGCAAACAGGAUUAGAUACCCGAGUAGUC